UGAGUUUGAUCAUGGCUCAGGAUGAACGCUAGCGGGAGGCUUAACACAUGCAAGUCGAGGGGUAACGAUGCUGCUUGCAGCAGGCGACGACUGGCGCACGGGUGCGUAACGCGUAUACAACUUGCCCUUAACAGGGGGAUAGCUCAGGGAAACCUGGAUUAAUACUCCAUAGUCCUUAUGUACCGCAUGGUACUAAAGGUAAAACUCCGGUGGUUAAGGAUGGGUAUGCGUGACAUUAGCUAGUUGGUGAGGUAAUGGCUCACCAAGGCAACGAUGUCUAGGGGUUCUGAGAGGAUGAUCCCCCACACUGGUACUGAG
RNAcentral lists this ribosomal RNA (318 nucleotides) under uncultured bacterium. Its description in RNAcentral is "bacterial SSU rRNA". It matches the Rfam family "Bacterial small subunit ribosomal RNA", at positions 1 to 323 of the family's 1533-position model. The record is from RNAcentral.